Molecule: ribosomal RNA, 254 nt
Filed under: uncultured bacterium
Lineage: Bacteria
Description: partial 16S ribosomal RNA
Rfam family: Bacterial small subunit ribosomal RNA
Source: RNAcentral
UACGAAGGGGGCUAGCGUUGCUCGGAAUCACUGGGCGUAAAGGGUGCGUAGGCGGGUCUUUUAAGUCAGGGGUGAAAUCCUGGAGCUCAACUCCAGAACUGCCUUUGAUACUGAGGAUCUUGAGUUCGGGAGAGGUGAGUGGAACUGCGAGUGUAGAGGUGAAAUUCGUAGAUAUUCGCAAGAACACCAGUGGCGAAGGCGGCUCACUGGCCCGGAACUGACGCUGAGAUGCGAAAGCGUGGGGAGCAAACAGG